UCUAUUACACAGACUCUUUUCUAACAUACUAGGAAUUAUUAUCCAGAAUUAUUAUUGCCCUCUGUUUUCCCAUACCUUACUUUCAGUGCCACUUCCCUGCCCCCCACAGCAUCUGCGCCCCCCUUCACCACCCUAUCUGCCAGAACCCCCUUUGCUUUUCUAGAUCUCAGCCACAGACCUUGUGCUCCUGACUCAUGGGCUUCCCAGAGAGACCGCAGGUUGGCUGCCAACACCCUGAAGACAGCAAGGCUGCCCAGUCCCCCAACGCCUGCCAAGGACAGAUUCUACCUGCAACGUGGACCCAGAGAGUCAUUCUCGAACAAAGGAACCCCAGAGGCCUGAACUUACUCAGAAUUGACUUCUGCGUCCUUCUAUUAUUGGGACUGACAUUUGAAGUCCCCGGCCGGGUCUCCCUGUCAUUUGCCAUCGCCUUUGAAGUGCUUAACAGCCGAGAGGUUGAAGCCAUACAAUUUUGCUAUUUAGAGGAUUCAGCUUAAGGUAACGGUCAAGUUGCAUAAUUCAAGAUGAAAGGGUUUGGGGCUUCCCUGGCGGUACAGCAUUUAAGAAUCCACCUGCCAGUGAAGAGGAAAUGAUUUUGAUCCCUGGCCCGGGAAGAUUCCACCUACCACCCAGCAACUAAGCCAGUGCGGAACAACCACUGAUUCUGAUGCUGCAGCUACUGGAGCCUGCGUGCCUACAGUGUGGUCUGCAGCAAGAGAAGCCACCACAAGAGAAGCCCGUGCUCGGCAAUGAGGAGUACCCUCUGCUCACUGCAACUAGAGAGAGCCUGCCUGUAGCAGUGAAGACCCAGUGCAACCAAAAAGAAAUAAACAAGUUUUUAAAAAAGAAAAACCAAAGCCUUAUGUCAUGAGACUUUUUCUGUUUUCUUCACUCACCUCC
Molecule: long non-coding RNA, 900 nt
Filed under: Bos grunniens (domestic yak)
Lineage: Eukaryota; Metazoa; Chordata; Mammalia; Artiodactyla; Bovidae
Description: lncRNA (ENSBGRG00000022139.1)
Source: RNAcentral